RNAcentral lists this ribosomal RNA (283 nucleotides) under uncultured bacterium. RNAcentral's name for it is "partial 16S ribosomal RNA". It matches the Rfam family "Bacterial small subunit ribosomal RNA", at positions 28 to 311 of the family's 1533-position model. The record is from RNAcentral.
GACGAACGCUGGCGGCGUGCUUAACACAUGCAAGUCGAGCGGUAAGGCCCUUUCGGGGGUACACGAGCGGCGAACGGGUGAGUAACACGUGGGUGACCUGCCUUUAGCUCUGGGAUAAGCCUGGGAAACUGGGUCUAAUACCGGAUAUGACUCCAUGAUGCAUGUUGUGGGGUGGAAAGCCUUGUGCGGCUGGAGAUGGGCCCGCGGCCUAUCAGCUUGGUUGGUGGGGUGAUGGCCUACCAAGGCGACGACGGGUAGCCGGCCUGAGAGGGCGACCGGCCAC